AACGCUAGCUACAGGCUUAACACAUGCAAGUCGAGGGGCAGCAUAGAAGUAGCAAUACUUUGGUGGCGACCGGCGCACGGGUGAGUAACGCGUAUGCAACCUACCUAUCAGAGGGGGAUAACCCGGCGAAAGUCGGACUAAUACCGCAUAAAACAGGGGCACCGCAUGGUGAUAUUUGUUAAAGAUUAAUUGCUGAUAGAUGGGCAUGCGUUCCAUUAGGUAGUUGGUGAGGUAAUGGCUCACCAAGCCGACGAUGGAUAGGGGAACUGAGAGGUUGGUCCCCCACACUGGUACUGAGACACGGACCAGACUCCUACGGGAGGCAGCAGUGAGGAAUAUUGGUCAAUGGGCGAGAGCCUGAACCAGCCAAGUCGCGUGAAGGAAGAAGGAUCUAUGGUUCGUAAACUUCUUUUGCAGGGGAAUAAAGUGGAGGACGUGUCCUCUUUUGUAUGUACCCUGAGAAUAAGGAUCGGCUAACUCCGUGCCAGCAGCCGCGGUAAUACGGAGGAUCCGAGCGUUAUCCGGAUUUAUUGGGUUUAAAGGGUGCGUAGGUGGUUUAAUAAGUCAGCGGUGAAAGUUUGCAGCUUAACUGUAAAAAUGCCGUUGAAACUGUAAGACUUGAGUGUAAAUGAGGUAGGCGGAAUGCGUGGUGUAGCGGUGAAAUGCUUAGAUAUCACGAAGAACUCCGAUUG
Molecule: ribosomal RNA, 692 nt
Filed under: uncultured Bacteroidales bacterium
Lineage: Bacteria; Pseudomonadati; Bacteroidota; Bacteroidia; Bacteroidales
Description: bacterial SSU rRNA
Rfam family: Bacterial small subunit ribosomal RNA
Source: RNAcentral